This 397-nucleotide long non-coding RNA is filed under the name Pan troglodytes (chimpanzee). Its description in RNAcentral is "long non-coding RNA NONPTRT004482". Lineage: Eukaryota; Metazoa; Chordata; Mammalia; Primates; Hominidae. The record is from RNAcentral.
CAGUUAUUUGGUAUUACCAAUUAUCAGGGUUUGGAAGGAUAAGUUUGCAUUUGCUUUGUCUGUUAUAAUAAACUUUUUAAAAAAAACAUAGCUACCUUUGAACCAAGUUUGGAUUUAUGUAGCUCGUAUUUUAUUGCAUUCUGUUGAAGAAUAUUAGUACUACCUGCAUCAUUUCAAUGACAUUUUUAGCACCAGAAAAAGAUUCUCCAGAGAUGUUUUGAGUAUUUUGGAAAAAGUUUAAUUCUGGGCCUCUUUCUCUGUGAUUUGAAGCACUCACAGAACUCAGUUAUUCAUGUAAUAACAUUGAUUGCUAAUAACGUUGAAUACUAAAUUUAAAUGCUAAAGCUUGUCCUAAGACUUAACUUUUUUUUUUAAAUUGAACCACCUAUAUUAGUAA